This 2902-nucleotide ribosomal RNA is filed under the name Klebsiella pneumoniae. Its description in RNAcentral is "23S ribosomal RNA". It matches the Rfam family "Bacterial large subunit ribosomal RNA". Lineage: Bacteria; Pseudomonadati; Pseudomonadota; Gammaproteobacteria; Enterobacterales; Enterobacteriaceae. The record is from RNAcentral.
GGUUAAGCGACUAAGCGUACACGGUGGAUGCCCUGGCAGUCAGAGGCGAUGAAGGACGUGCUAAUCUGCGAAAAGCGUCGGUAAGGUGAUAUGAACCGUUAUAACCGGCGAUGUCCGAAUGGGGAAACCCAGUGUGAUUCGUCACACUAUCGUUAACUGAAUACAUAGGUUAACGAGGCGAACCGGGGGAACUGAAACAUCUAAGUACCCCGAGGAAAAGAAAUCAACCGAGAUUCCCCCAGUAGCGGCGAGCGAACGGGGAGCAGCCCAGAGUCUGAAUCAGCUUGUGUGUUAGUGGAACGGUCUGGAAAGUCCGACGGUACAGGGUGAUAGUCCCGUACACCAAAAUGCACAGGUUGUGAACUCGAAGAGUAGGGCGGGACACGUGGUAUCCUGUCUGAAUAUGGGGGGACCAUCCUCCAAGGCUAAAUACUCCUGACUGACCGAUAGUGAACCAGUACCGUGAGGGAAAGGCGAAAAGAACCCCGGCGAGGGGAGUGAAAAAGAACCUGAAACCGUGUACGUACAAGCAGUGGGAGCACCUUCGGGUGUGACUGCGUACCUUUUGUAUAAUGGGUCAGCGACUUAUAUUCUGUAGCAAGGUUAACCGUAUAGGGGAGCCGCAGGGAAACCGAGUCUUAACUGGGCGUUAAGUUGCAGGGUAUAGACCCGAAACCCGGUGAUCUAGCCAUGGGCAGGUUGAAGGUUGGGUAACACUAACUGGAGGACCGAACCGACUAAUGUUGAAAAAUUAGCGGAUGACUUGUGGCUGGGGGUGAAAGGCCAAUCAAACCGGGAGAUAGCUGGUUCUCCCCGAAAGCUAUUUAGGUAGCGCCUCGUGAAUUCAUCUUCGGGGGUAGAGCACUGUUUCGGCUAGGGGGUCAUCCCGACUUACCAACCCGAUGCAAACUACGAAUACCGAAGAAUGUUAUCACGGGAGACACACGGCGGGUGCUAACGUCCGUCGUGAAGAGGGAAACAACCCAGACCGCCAGCUAAGGUCCCAAAGUCAUGGUUAAGUGGGAAACGAUGUGGGAAGGCACAGACAGCCAGGAUGUUGGCUUAGAAGCAGCCAUCAUUUAAAGAAAGCGUAAUAGCUCACUGGUCGAGUCGGCCUGCGCGGAAGAUGUAACGGGGCUAAACCAUGCACCGAAGCUGCGGCAGCGACACUAUGUGUUGUUGGGUAGGGGAGCGUUCUGUAAGCCUGCGAAGGUGUGCUGUGAGGCAUGCUGGAGGUAUCAGAAGUGCGAAUGCUGACAUAAGUAACGAUAAAGCGGGUGAAAAGCCCGCUCGCCGGAAGACCAAGGGUUCCUGUCCAACGUUAAUCGGGGCAGGGUGAGUCGACCCCUAAGGCGAGGCCGAAAGGCGUAGUCGAUGGGAAACAGGUUAAUAUUCCUGUACUUGGUGUUACUGCGAAGGGGGGACGGAGAAGGCUAUGUUAGCCGGGCGACGGUUGUCCCGGUUUAAGCAUGUAGGCUGGUUAUCCAGGCAAAUCCGGAUAAUCAAGGCUGAGGUGUGAUGACGAGGUACUACGGUGCUGAAGUAACAAAUGCCCUGCUUCCAGGAAAAGCCUCUAAGCAUCAGGUAACAUCAAAUCGUACCCCAAACCGACACAGGUGGUCAGGUAGAGAAUACCAAGGCGCUUGAGAGAACUCGGGUGAAGGAACUAGGCAAAAUGGUGCCGUAACUUCGGGAGAAGGCACGCUGGUGUGUAGGUGAAGUCCCUGCGGAUGGAGCUGAGACCAGUCGAAGAUACCAGCUGGCUGCAACUGUUUAUUAAAAACACAGCACUGUGCAAACACGAAAGUGGACGUAUACGGUGUGACGCCUGCCCGGUGCCGGAAGGUUAAUUGAUGGGGUUAUCCGUAAGGAGAAGCUCUUGAUCGAAGCCCCGGUAAACGGCGGCCGUAACUAUAACGGUCCUAAGGUAGCGAAAUUCCUUGUCGGGUAAGUUCCGACCUGCACGAAUGGCGUAAUGAUGGCCAGGCUGUCUCCACCCGAGACUCAGUGAAAUUGAACUCGCUGUGAAGAUGCAGUGUACCCGCGGCAAGACGGAAAGACCCCGUGAACCUUUACUAUAGCUUGACACUGAACAUUGAGCCUUGAUGUGUAGGAUAGGUGGGAGGCUUUGAAGCGUGGACGCCAGUCUGCGUGGAGCCAACCUUGAAAUACCACCCUUUAAUGUUUGAUGUUCUAACGUUGGCCCCUGACCGGGGUUGCGGACAGUGUCUGGUGGGUAGUUUGACUGGGGCGGUCUCCUCCCAAAGCGUAACGGAGGAGCACGAAGGUUAGCUAAUCCUGGUCGGACAUCAGGAGGUUAGUGCAAUGGCAUAAGCUAGCUUGACUGCGAGCGUGACGGCGCGAGCAGGUGCGAAAGCAGGUCAUAGUGAUCCGGUGGUUCUGAAUGGAAGGGCCAUCGCUCAACGGAUAAAAGGUACUCCGGGGAUAACAGGCUGAUACCGCCCAAGAGUUCAUAUCGACGGCGGUGUUUGGCACCUCGAUGUCGGCUCAUCACAUCCUGGGGCUGAAGUAGGUCCCAAGGGUAUGGCUGUUCGCCAUUUAAAGUGGUACGCGAGCUGGGUUUAGAACGUCGUGAGACAGUUCGGUCCCUAUCUGCCGUGGGCGCUGGAGAAUUGAGGGGGGCUGCUCCUAGUACGAGAGGACCGGAGUGGACGCAUCACUGGUGUUCGGGUUGUCAUGCCAAUGGCACUGCCCGGUAGCUAAAUGCGGAAGAGAUAAGUGCUGAAAGCAUCUAAGCACGAAACUUGCCCCGAGAUGAGUUCUCCCUGAGACUUUAAGUCUCCUGAAGGAACGUUGAAGACGACGACGUUGAUAGGCCGGGUGUGUAAGCGCAGCGAUGCGUUGAGCUAACCGGUACUAAUGAACCGUGAGGCUUAACCUU